RNAcentral lists this ribosomal RNA (119 nucleotides) under uncultured bacterium. RNAcentral's name for it is "partial 16S ribosomal RNA". It matches the Rfam family "Bacterial small subunit ribosomal RNA", at positions 1355 to 1482 of the family's 1533-position model. The record is from RNAcentral.
UGAUACGGUGAAUACGUUCCCGGACCUUGUACACACCGCCCGUCAAGCCAUGAAAGCCGGGGGGACCUGAAGUCGGUAACCGCAAGGAGCCGCCUAGGGUAAAACCGGUAACUGGGGCU